GCCGAGAUAGCUCAGUUGGGGAGAGCGUCAGACUGAAGAUCUGAAGGUCCCUGGUUCAAAAUCAUACGAAGAUAUGAACUUUCCCGGGUCUCGGCA
Molecule: non-coding RNA, 96 nt
Organism: Lytechinus pictus (painted urchin)
Lineage: Eukaryota; Metazoa; Echinodermata; Echinoidea; Temnopleuroida; Toxopneustidae
Source: the annotation of a RefSeq genome assembly